RNAcentral lists this ribosomal RNA (261 nucleotides) under uncultured bacterium. RNAcentral's name for it is "partial 16S ribosomal RNA". It matches the Rfam family "Bacterial small subunit ribosomal RNA", at positions 793 to 1055 of the family's 1533-position model. The record is from RNAcentral.
GUCCACGCCCUAAACGAUGUCUACUAGUUGUCGGGUUUAAUUAACUUGGUAACGCAGCUAACGCGUGAAGUAGACCGCCUGGGGAGUACGGUCGCAAGAUUAAAACUCAAAGGAAUUGACGGGACCCGCACAAGCGGUGGAUGAUGUGGAUUAAUUCGAUGCAACGCGAAAACCUUACCUACCCUUGACAUGGAUGGAAUCCCGGAGAGAUUUGGGAGUGCUCGAAAGAGAACCAUCACACAGGUGCUGCAUGGCUGUCGU